UAUGCUAGAAAUGGAGCAUCCCAGGU
RNAcentral lists this non-coding RNA (26 nucleotides) under Rattus norvegicus (Norway rat). The record is from RNAcentral. Lineage: Eukaryota; Metazoa; Chordata; Mammalia; Rodentia; Muridae.